This is a long non-coding RNA of Daphnia pulex (common water flea), 1076 nucleotides long. RefSeq lists it as uncharacterized. The record is from RefSeq and is a predicted model, not a curated record. The transcript is spliced from 6 exons. Lineage: Eukaryota; Metazoa; Arthropoda; Branchiopoda; Diplostraca; Daphniidae.
CCGAGGUACUGUUUCCUUCAAUUUCCAACCUGGCCUUUUUGGCUUUCUUUUUACGUUCGGCCUUCUUCCUUUUACGCUCUCCUUCUCCUAGAACUUUCAGAAUCAUUUUGGGUGUUGUUUCCAGAAUUAAGGUCUCCAGAAGUAUCCGAUUCCCCCUGAGAGGAUUCAACAUCAGGGGGAACAUCUUCCUUGUCGGAACUUUCAUCAUCAGAGGCUCGAGACAUCAAGGCAGAGGAAUCUCAUAAAUCAGCAUUCCUAUCUUGUCCAUAUAAAGGGUGGAAACAUUACUUCCCAUCUGAAGGUAUCAACAACCUUAGAGAAUUGACACAUACAUGUAACAACAACCGAGAAACAAUUAAUCCAUUGUGAAAUUGCAAACAAUCCAAUUGAAAGCAAAUUCAGGAAGCAAGUUUAGAAAUCCCAAGUCAAGUGGAGAAACAAGACAAAGAUUCAACAUUAAAUGUAGAUAAACUUGAUGCUGCCAUUAAAGCAUGUGGAGAUCAAGUGAUUUAUUUGAAAGUAAAGAAAGCUGACAAGGUACGAUACAUGGAAAAAGAGAGAAGGUAACAGAAAGACACAGACAUUUUUUAAACACAUACACAAACACACACAUAUAUAGGCACUGUAAUCUGAAUUUUUCGACUCUCUUUUCUAGAAUUUCUCCUCCUUUUCUCUUUCCCAUAGCCAUUUACUCGUCGUCAUCCUCGUCGAGGCUGCAAUCCGAAAAAGCGCUCGACAGGUCGCUGUCCUCGUCCGAGUUUGCCUCCAAGUUUGCCUCCAAAGCCAACUUGGCCUUUUUGGCUUCCUUGAUUCUCCAGAAACAUCACUGGUGUCGUUUCCAGACUCAACAUCAGGGUCUCCACAAGAAUACAGGAUUCCACAACGGGGGUAUCUUCCUUGUCAGAAUCUUCAUCAUCUGAGGCUAUUUUAUCCUCUGAUGUGCCCUCCCCAUCUUUUUAAAUUUUUCGCAUGGUUGGGGGUUCCGCUGGUGAAGAGAUCUGGUGAACACUGACCAGAUUUGUCCAUUGCUGAUGGGCUUAGCUGAGCCCUUUCUUCAAAACGUUGAUUCAGCUUUG